Molecule: ribosomal RNA, 412 nt
Filed under: Paracoccus sp. oral taxon H67
Lineage: Bacteria; Pseudomonadati; Pseudomonadota; Alphaproteobacteria; Rhodobacterales; Paracoccaceae
Description: bacterial SSU rRNA
Rfam family: Bacterial small subunit ribosomal RNA
Source: RNAcentral
CGAACGCUGGCGGCAGGCUUAACACAUGCAAGUCGAGCGAGAUCUUCGGAUCUAGCGGCGGACGGGUGAGUAACGCGUGGGAACGUGCCCUUUGCUACGGAAUAGUCCCGGGAAACUGGGUUUAAUACCGUAUACGCCCUUCGGGGGAAAGAUUUAUCGGCAAAGGAUCGGCCCGCGUUGGAUUAGGUAGUUGGUGGGGUAAUGGCCUACCAAGCCGACGAUCCAUAGCUGGUUUGAGAGGAUGAUCAGCCACACUGGGACUGAGACACGGCCCAGACUCCUACGGGAGGCAGCAGUGGGGAAUCUUAGACAAUGGGGGCAACCCUGAUCUAGCCAUGCCGCGUGAGUGAUGAAGGCCUUAGGGUUGUAAAGCUCUUUCAGCUGGGAAGAUAAUGACGUACCAGCAGAAGAG